ACCUUCGGGCCUCUUGCCAUCAGAUGUGCCCAGAUGGGAUUAGCUAGUAGGUGGGGUAACGGCUCACCUAGGCGACGAUCCCUAGCUGGUCUGAGAGGAUGACCAGCCACACUGGAACUGAGACACGGUCCAGACUCCUACGGGAGGCAGCAGUGGGGAAUAUUGCACAAUGAGCGCAAGCCUGAUGCAGCCAUGCCGCGUGUAUGAAGAAGGCCCUCGGGUUGUAAAGUACUUUCAGCGGGGAGGAAGGCGUUGAGGUUAAUAACCUCAGCGAUUGACGUUACCCGCAGAAGAAGCACCGGCUAACUCCGUGCCAGCAGCCGCGGUAGUACGGAGGGUGCAAGCGUUAAUCGGAAUUACUGGGCGUAAAGCGCACGCAGGCGGUCUGUCAAGUCGGAUGUGAAAUCCCCGGGCUCAACCUGGGAACUGCAUUCGAAACUGGCAGGCUAGAGUCUUGUAGAGGGGGGUAGAAUUCCAGGUGUAGCGGUGAAAUGCGUAGAGAUCUGGANGNGAAUACCGGUGGCGAAGGCGGCCCCCUGGACAAAGACUGACGCUCAGGUGCGAAAGCGUGGGGAGCAAACAGGAUUAGAUACCCUGGUAGUCCACGCCGUAAACGAUGUCGACUUGGAGGUUGUGCCCUUGAGGCGUGGCUUCCGGAGCUAACGCGUUAAGUCGACCGCCUGGGGAGUACGGCCGCAAGGUUAAAACUCAAAUGAAUUGACGGGGGCCCGCACAAGCGGUGGAGCAUGUGGUUUAAUUCGAUGCAACGCGAAGAACCUUACCUACUCUUGACAUCCAGAGAACUUUCCAGAGAUGGAUUGGUGCCUUCGGGGACUCUGAGACAGGUGCUGCAUGGCUGUCGUCAGCUCGUGUUGUGAAAUGUUGGGUUAAGUCCCGCAACGAGCGCAACCCUUAUCCUUUGUUGCCAGCGGUCCGGCCGGGAACUCAAAGGAGACUGCCAGUGAUAAACUGGAGGAAGGUGGGGAUGACGUCAAGUCAUCAUGGCCCUUACGAGUAGGGCUACACACGUGCUACAAUGGCGCAUACAAAGAGAAGCGACCUCGCGAGAGCAAGCGGACCUCAUAAAGUGCGUCGUAGUCCGGAUUGGAGUCUGCAACUCGACUCCAUGAAGUCGGAAUCGCUAGUAAUCGUAGAUCAGAAUGCUACGGUGAAUA
RNAcentral lists this ribosomal RNA (1175 nucleotides) under uncultured Enterobacter sp. RNAcentral describes it as "bacterial SSU rRNA". It matches the Rfam family "Bacterial small subunit ribosomal RNA", at positions 199 to 1368 of the family's 1533-position model. The record is from RNAcentral. Lineage: Bacteria; Pseudomonadati; Pseudomonadota; Gammaproteobacteria; Enterobacterales; Enterobacteriaceae.